This 478-nucleotide ribosomal RNA is filed under the name uncultured bacterium. RNAcentral's name for it is "bacterial SSU rRNA". It matches the Rfam family "Bacterial small subunit ribosomal RNA", at positions 29 to 506 of the family's 1533-position model. The record is from RNAcentral.
ACGAACGCUGGCGGCGUGCCUAAUACAUGCAAGUCGAACGUGAAAGUCCUUCGGGAUGAGUAAAGUGGCGCACGGGUGAGUAACACGUAGGUCACCUGCCUUUUAGUGGGGAAUAACACAGCGAAAGUUGUGCUAAUGCCGCAUGUGAAAGAAAUUUCAAAGGGGGCUAGCAAUAGCUCUCGCUAAGAGAUGGGCCUGCGCGACAUUAGGUAGUUGGUGGGGUAAUGGCCUACCAAGCCUACGAUGUCUAUCCGGUCUGAGAGGAUGAUCGGACACACUGGAACUGAGACACGGUCCAGACUCCUACGGGAGGCAGCAGUAGGGAAUAUUGCGCAAUGGGGGAAACCCUGACGCAGCAACGCCGCGUGAGUGAGGAAGGUUUUCGGAUUGUAAAGCUCUGUUCUUAGGGAAAAAUGGUCAGGGAGCUAAUACCCCCUGAUUUGAUGGUACCUAAGGAGAAAGGACCGGCUAACUUCGU